CAAUCCCCGCUGCCGUUGCCCUCUCUCUCAACUUUUGCGGACCUCGAGCCCAGCACCAUGAGUGCACUCCUGCAUCAUUUCUCCAGAAACUGAAACCCUAGCUUCACCUCAGUCAAAAACUUGAGACCCUUCCCAUUCACUUUUUAGCCGUGCCACCAUAGCCAUUUUGUCCAAAAUCGUAUCUCAUCUUCAAGCUACAACCUGUAACCCCCAAACUUCGAAUUUGAGAAAUGAAACCCAGAACUUCGAAGCCAUAUCCGCAGCCCCAUCUCACCGAUUCUCCAAAAAAAUAAUAAAAUAAUAAUAAUAAUAAUAAUAAUAAAAAGAGUACACGAUCUUUCAUUGGUUCACUAUAUGUCUCAGUGCUUUAUUUAUUCUGAAAAAGACUCUGGACUCCUCAUGCAUGUGAGUUGGGUUUGGUGCAGAUCCCAUUCGUGGUUAGAAGAAGAUGCGCAGAGACAGAAUUGGCACGGGUGCACAAAUCCAAAGGGAAUCAAGCAGCAUACAUCUCAAAAUCCUCACGGUCAGAAUUACAGAUUUGUGCUAGGAGUUGAAUCAGUUUCUCUGCAUCCAAAUGGAUCCUGACAGUUUCCAUUAUACUCAUGUAUUUUUUUCUCUUUUGUAUGCAUGCUGCCCUGAAUAAAUGUGAUGAAUCUUGAGCUAAACGUUGCACCAAAUGGAUCCUGUGCUCCCUUCUGUGUUGUUUGGAUCCCACCCCCAAACUUGUAUGUAAUAAUAUUUUAAAUAUAAUGCGAGGGAGUGGUUGAGUGAGAUGGAGUGCCAAGCAAUGCAAAAAGGGCUUCAUCACCAACCCCACUGUAAGUAUUUUUGGAACUUUUUCUGCAUUGGAUUAAUUUCUGCACUUUGCGUUGAUGAUGAAUAUUGUCCUCACACUUUCACACCCAUCAAAGAAGAAUCAAAGUAAGACACAAUUAUGUUUUUGUCAUGAACAUCAAAACAUGAAUGUUGUUUUCAAAUAUCAAAUGCAAAAACCAUGAAUAAAUGUGAUAUUUCACAAAUGCGAGAUUUUUGUGAUCAAACAUCAAAUGAAUAUGAAGUAAUAAUAAAUGUGUAGUUAAUAAUCACAAACAUCAAAUGAAUAUGGAUGAAUAAUAUGAACAAGCCAAAUGGUAGUUAUAACAGGUUAUGGGGUUAGGAUUUCCUCCCAUCACCUGCUGAUUUCGGUAAAAUAAUGCAAGAACUACACACAAGGAGCUACCAAUCAUUAGCCCCAAUUGCUCACCAACAUUAAAUUCACCAUUAACCAACUUUGUUUUAGCAAGAAAUACUAUCAAAACAAAUAUUAUGCCCACAACCAUAUCGGCAACCCCAAGCACAGUUGUAGAUUUGGUGAUCCAAAUAAAUGAAAUGAAAAGGGCAAAAAAUCAUGCAAGAAUCCAAAGCCAAUAGUAUAAAUCCAAAAUGUGGCUACUACGGGCUUUGGAUCCUUGCAUGAUUUUUUGUCCUUUUCAUUUCAUUUGUUUGCAUCGCCAAACCUACCACUGUACUUGGGGUUACCGAUAUGCUUGUGGGCAUACUAUCUGUUUUGAUAGUAUUUUGGGCCAAAACGAAGUUGGUCAGUUGUGGAUUUAAUGUUGGUGAGCAAUUGGGGCUAAUAAUUGGCAACUCGUUAUGUCUAGUUCUUGUCGAAUUGUACUGAAAUCAAUAUGAGCAAGUGAUGGGAGGAAAUCCUAACCCCAUAACUUGUUAUGGUUGGUUGUCUAUGAAAGUAACCACCAUUUGGCUUAUUCAUUUGAUGUUUGUGAUUAUUAACUAAACAUUUAUUUUUCGUUCAUAUUCAUUUGAUGUUUGAUGACAAAAAUCUUGCAUUUGUGAAAUGUCACAUCUAUUCAUGUUUUUUGCAUAUGAUAUUCAUAGGUGAAAACAACAUUCAUGUUUUGAUGUUCAUGACAAAAACAUAGUUGUGUCUUCCUUUGCUUCUUCUUUGAUGUUGAGUGUGAAGGGCAAUAUGGAAAGGCUUUUUAGCCAAAAUUGUCCCUGAGAUGAGAUUUGCAUAACUCUUCAUGAUUGUUCUUGAAGCAGUCAACUUGAUAGUGAUCUGACUUACUGUGCCACCCUAUUUUCCUUAUUACGUGGCUCAAAUACGACCUAUUAUUAACUUCACGGUUCUUUAUCAUAACCUAUGCUUCUUUCUGUUUCUGUCAAGUAAUGUGAGGUAAACGAAAACCAUAUGAUAUAGGCUUCGUGAUGAAAUCGAUGGCAGUAAUUUCUCUGAUGAGAUUUGAAAUUGAAUUGGGCAUGAACGAACUCAGGUUGAUCUAACCAAAUUGCACCUCAAGUAUGCAAAAUGCAAGGGCUUGCAAGCCAGGGCCUUUUUACUUGGAAUGGUAUGGGCCUGAAGAUUUAACUUGUAAACAGUUAUUGGUCCUCACCUUUAGGUGGAUAGUACUGAUUUGUGACUCAAGUAGUUCGGGAUUUGCCCCGUGUUCGAUCAUCCCUAUUUCCAACUGAUAUGACUUGUAUAAACAAAUGUAGUAACAGUCAAAUUAGUUGGAACAUGAUGCUUUCGUUUUAUAUACCUAAGUUCGAAUU
Molecule: long non-coding RNA, 2553 nt
Organism: Malus domestica (apple)
Lineage: Eukaryota; Viridiplantae; Streptophyta; Magnoliopsida; Rosales; Rosaceae
Source: RefSeq, a predicted model, not a curated record